CACACACAUGCAAUUAUUAUAUAAUUCUGUGUAUUCCACAAUAUAAAAAAUUCUUUUUGAUUGGAUGGAGCAAUGUUGGUAUCACGUUUUUUAUACUUAGUAUAAAAAGCUAAUCUUAUUUGUUUCGAAUGUUUACAUUAUUUCAAAUACAUUUACGUAGUUUUUUUUGUACGCACAUUUUUUAUAUACAUAUACGUAGAUAUAUUUGUAUGUGGGCGUGGGUGUGUGUGUGUGUGUGUGUGUGUGUGUGUGUGGGUGUGGGUGUGUGUGUGUGUAUGUAUAUACACGUAACGAUUGUAAAAAUUCAAUGUGUUGGACUUAAACUUAAUUUUUACUUAUGUAAUAGUUACAUUUAUUUCUUCAUUUUGUAUCUUAUCAGAAUAGGGAAUUUGAAUUGAAUUAUAAACGAAAUCAAACGUACUUUAAUUGAAGGGAAAUCAUCGAAGAUAAACAAUUCAAUUAAUAGAAUAUAUAUUCUUUACUUAGUUUGCUCGAAUGCAAUAGCCAUUUAUUUUGCGCGAUAUACGUAAUUUAACUGAUAAAAAAGCCAUUAUUGAUUAUUAUUUUAUUCAAUAUAUUUUUUCAAUUCAAUUUGAACUCAACGGUCGUUGCUAUUAUAAUAUCCAUAUAUAAUCACAUAGCAGUAUCUAUAUGUAUGUGUAAACAUGGCGGCAUUACGAGGAAAAUUCUUUACUGUUGUGGAUACAUUUUCAUUUUUCACCGAGAAAAAAUCAUUAAAUUUUAAGAAGUAUGUGUCAAUAGUACGCACAACGAUAGGAAGAACUUUUUCAGUAAAAACAAUUAAAGAUAUCGAGGAAAGAAAGGUCAAUGUCAAUGGGUUUGAUAUUAAUUAUGUUAGAGUCGGGAUUGGUAAUCAUCCUGUUCUCCUAUUACCUGGUGCCCUAGGAACUGCUUGGACUGACUUCAAACCUCAACUGGAAAAUCUUGAUAAAAAUAAGUUGACUGUAGUAGCAUGGGAUCCACCUGGAUAUGGAAAAUCGAGACCACUGAACAGAAUAUAUUCAGAUGAUUUUUUGCAACGUGAUGCCGAUUAUGCUUUUAAUUUAAUGAAAGUUCUAGGAUAUAAGAAAUUCUCUUUGAUUGGAUGGAGCGAUGGUGGUAUCACGUCUCUUAUACUUGCUGCCAAAAAUCCUGAUAGCAUUCGUAAAAUGAUCGUAUUUGGUGCGAAUGCUUACAUUAUUCCCGAAGAACUCCAAAUUUAUAAAAGCAUUAAAAACAUCGACACUUGGUCGGAUAAAAUGAAACAACCAUUGAUUGAAGUUUAUGGGGAAGAGUAUUUUAGAAAUACUUGGUCCGAUUGGGUAGAUGGUAUGGAAAGAAUAUAUGAAAAAAACAAGGGUGAUUUGUGUAAAAAUGUUUUGGAUAAAAUAAAGUGUCCUACUUUAAUCGUACAUGGAGCAAAAGACGUAAUAGUAAAGCCAGAACAUCCAGUUUAUUUAAAAGAUCAUAUAAAAAAUUCUGAGGUGAUAAUAUUUGAAAAAGGAGCUCAUAAUUUACAUUUAAGAUAUCAUGAGGAAUUUAAUACAUUGGCCAUGAAGUUCUUGACAGAAGAUUGAAACAUUUUUUAAGUUUCUUAUUUUCUUAAUAAGGAUAAAUUAUACUGGGGAGACACGAAGCAUUCAUCCUACGAAGAAAGUGUCGUUCAAACACAUUUAUCUCAUUUAGGAACGUAAACUCAUAACCGGAUCGUUGAACGUCAUCGAGUAAGAAAGGCAUAGAACUCGAAAUCGUUUUUGGUUGUGGCAUACCGAAAGAGGCUUAACGUUUCCUUUGCCCACGCUGUAUCGCGAUUCUCCUUUCUCUGCUUGCGCUCUCAUGCCGGUUAUCCCACGUACGUCCUCCGUGCCAGGUCAUACGAUCGACGUGCCCGAUCGUGGCGAACCGACUACCUAGAGUGGUGCCUUUUAAAAAACAUAAAUCAAGUGUCACGUAUUGAAUUUUCUCCUCUUCUAUGGCAUCUCUUUUAUGCUUUAAGACGUUCGAACGAACAAGAGUUCUAGCUUACCAUCGAUCAAUAUUCCAUAAUUGAGAAUCACUUUUAGUCUGUCAGCAUUUUCUUUCUUAAUCAGAACAAAGACAUUUUUUUUUAAAGUUCCUAGAAAUUCUUUAUAUUUCAUAAUUUUUUUUUUAAUUUUAUCAUAUGUUAUAACCGUCUAACGUGAAAAGUCAAAGGGCAUGUUGAUUAGAUCGUUUAAUUGAUCGUCCUGAACUAUUUUUCAUUUCGAUUGUAAGACUAACUAGAUUAGAUUAUUAUUACGGUAACAAGCUGUCGUAAGUACGGGAAGUGUUGCUUAUAUAAUGCCAAGGCUAUGGAGUCAUUUGAUGAAGAUGGAAGAAGAAUCAAUACGAUAUGAGCAUUAGAUAGUGGACACGUACGAUCGUAGAUCUGACAUCCGUCCUCUACUUUGCCACUAGCAUAACAAGCAACUUCUAAUCUGCAUAUCAAUCAUGCACCAUACUGUUGAUUGCUUGAUACGUCACAACGAGAUUCUCAAUUUAUUGACAUAAACUAGAAAAAUAUCGGACGAUGUCACUUGCGAGUUUGCAGUUGAUGAGAGAGAGAGAGAAAGAGUCCAACGAAUUCAACGAGCUAAUAACGAAGUUCCUCUCGGGGCCAC
RNA transcript from Vespa velutina, 2639 nucleotides. It is a transcript of the gene named valacyclovir hydrolase, with no coding region annotated. The transcript has 8 exons. Lineage: Eukaryota; Metazoa; Arthropoda; Insecta; Hymenoptera; Vespidae. The record is from RefSeq and is a predicted model, not a curated record.